This is a long non-coding RNA of Syngnathoides biaculeatus (alligator pipefish), 1075 nucleotides long. RefSeq lists it as uncharacterized. The record is from RefSeq and is a predicted model, not a curated record. The transcript is spliced from 2 exons. NCBI's taxonomy places the organism in Eukaryota, Metazoa, Chordata, Actinopteri, Syngnathiformes, Syngnathidae.
ACGUAUUUCCUUUUCGCCAUGCGGUAUAAAGUUCUAUUGGCUUGCGUAAAUCUUCCAGAAUUUGGAUCGAACGUUGUGAAUCUUCGACGCGGAACCCCUCUGAUCACUACUUUAGUGGAUUAAAACAUCGUUCGUGCUGUCUUCGAGUCCGGUUAAAGUCGUUUCUUGCACGUUGAAGCUUCUCGUUUUAGCUUAGCCUAGCUUGCUAACAAAGAGGCGUUUGCGAGCAACAGUUCCCUCAGCAGAGAACAAGGCUGAAGUAAAGUCUUGUUGUUCUUGCCACCAACUCGUAAGGUUUGACAGAGCGGACACUUACGUGUGUUUAAAAAAAAAAACCGGGCACACCAACGACUGAAUUCUGCCGGUUGUUUUCUGGGAGUUAAAUAUUAUUUCGUUUUUAUUAUCAUCUCCGUAAUGUGAUGUCUGAAUCUGGCGUCGUGGUGGAUGACAUGUAGAACAAACGCUGUGGGACUCUUCAUGCAGCCCGAUUGGGGAGCUUGUCGCUUUAAAUAUUUCUGCCGUAAAGGUUCUUGGGUAAAACAUCUCCCUUCACUUCUCGCCAUGUGGGAGAAUAGACUAUUGUUCUAAAACAAAUCUUUGGGAAUAUGGACAAAAUUUUGUGAAUCCUCGACGCAGAAUGCGUUGUCUCGUCCAGGUUGAAGCUUUUCGGCCCGAUCUUAGCUUAGUUUGCUAACAAAGAGAUUCAUUGAGCAACACUCCGCCACCAACAUGAAAUAAUGUCUCAUAAAAUCCUGAAAUUUUUUUGGAAUAACUGGAUUUGAAAAACAGCAACAUUCUAUCAGCGUUCUGCAUCGACUUAAUCAGGAUUCUGAAUGCCUCUGUCUAUCGAGGCCUGUGACAAGACGUCACACGCAGGUGAUUUCCAGCCUCGCACCAUUUUGGAAGACAAGUGUACUGGCGGCUGGAACUCCACGCACAACAUUUCAGGCAAGCCAGCACACCUGUAUGACUGCACUAAUCCAGACUGGGCUCCAACCAACAAACAAUCAUGGAAAUCAAUGGACUAUUCCCUAUGUACAGCAAAUAGAAAUAAAAUGUGUCCCUUUAAAGUGCA